RNAcentral lists this ribosomal RNA (530 nucleotides) under uncultured bacterium. RNAcentral describes it as "bacterial SSU rRNA". It matches the Rfam family "Bacterial small subunit ribosomal RNA", at positions 981 to 1509 of the family's 1533-position model. The record is from RNAcentral.
UUGACAUACUAAGAACUUUCCAGAGAUGGAUUGGUGCCUUCGGGAACUUUAGAUACAGGUGCUGCAUGGCUGUCGUCAGCUCGUGUCGUGAGAUGUUGGGUUAAGUCCCGCAACGAGCGCAACCCUUUUCCUUAUUUGCCAGCGGGUUAAGCCGGGAACUUUAAGGAUACUGCCAGUGACAAACUGGAGGAAGGCGGGGACGACGUCAAGUCAUCAUGGCCCUUACGGCCAGGGCUACACACGUGCUACAAUGGUCGGUACAAAGGGUUGCUACCUCGCGAGAGGAUGCUAAUCUCAAAAAGCCGAUCGUAGUCCGGAUCGCAGUCUGCAACUCGACUGCGUGAAGUCGGAAUCGCUAGUAAUCGCGGAUCAGAAUGCCGCGGUGAAUACGUUCCCGGGCCUUGUACACACCGCCCGUCACACCAUGGGAGUUUGUUGCACCAGAAGUAGGUAGUCUAACCGCAAGGAGGACGCUUACCACGGUGUGGCCGAUGACUGGGGUGAAGUCGUAACAAGGUAAGCGUAGAUGA